AUCAUUUUAGUAAAAGUUAUUAUAUCACUUUGAUAGAGUGAAGUUCAUUGUUGAAAUGAUA
This 61-nucleotide transfer RNA is filed under the name Panagrellus redivivus. RNAcentral's name for it is "tRNA-Ile". Lineage: Eukaryota; Metazoa; Nematoda; Chromadorea; Rhabditida; Panagrolaimidae. The record is from RNAcentral.